Molecule: ribosomal RNA, 261 nt
Filed under: uncultured bacterium
Lineage: Bacteria
Description: partial 16S ribosomal RNA
Rfam family: Bacterial small subunit ribosomal RNA
Source: RNAcentral
UACGAAGGGGGCUAGCGUUGUUCGGAAUUACUGGGCGUAAAGCGCACGUAGGCGGAUAUUUAAGUCAGGGGUGAAAUCCCAGAGCUCAACUCUGGAACUGCCUUUGAUACUGGGUAUCUAGAGUAUGGAAGAGGUGAGUGGAAUUCCGAGUGUAGAGGUGAAAUUCGUAGAUAUUCGGAGGAACACCAGUGGCGAAGGCGGCUCACUGGUCCAUUACUGACGCUGAGGUGCGAAAGCGUGGGGAGCAAACAGGAUUAGAAA